GCCCUGGGGAAGCUCUUACUCAUUCAGAAGCAGCAGUUCAGCCGCGAGCCUGUAGUCUGGGGCCCUCCAAGGCGGGAUCUGGUAUAUGUACGUUUCCUUUUCCUUUUUUUAAAGAUUGGCACCUGAGCUAACAACUGUUGCCAAUCUUCCUUUUUUUUUUUUUCCUGCUUUUUCUCCCCAAAUCUCCCCGGUACAUAGUUGUAUAUUUUAGUUGUGGCAUGUGGGACACCGCCUCAGCAUGGCCUGAUGAGCGGUGCCAUGUCCGCACCCAGGAUCUGAACCGGUGAAACCCUGGGCCGCGGAAGCGGAGCGCGGGAUCUUAACCACUCAGCCACGGGUUGGCACCUGAUACAAUCAAAGAUAACCAGAUGUGUGGGGAGACGAGACUCCAUAGAGGAGAACGAGCAGACAGCCACAACCGACGGAGCCGUGGAGACCCCAGGUACUGCAAAGAGCGGGAACAGCCUUCGCACAACUGUCCUGACUAUGUUCAAGGAGGUAAAAGUCAUUUAGGUAAUUUGUAUAAUAAUAAUAAACUGGAUUUCUGGACCAGCCAAGUCAAGGCCUCUGAGUACAGUGACAGCAUCAAGAUCACAACACCCCUGGAAUCAUACACCCCCCGGUACAUAGUUGUGUAUUCUCCGUUGUGGGUUCCUCUAGUUGUGGCAUGUGGGACGCUGCCUCAGCGUGGUCUGACGAGCAGUGCCAUGUCCGCGCCCAGGAUUCGAACCGAC
RNAcentral lists this long non-coding RNA (734 nucleotides) under Equus caballus (horse). Its description in RNAcentral is "lncRNA (ENSECAG00000059489.1)". The record is from RNAcentral. Lineage: Eukaryota; Metazoa; Chordata; Mammalia; Perissodactyla; Equidae.